CAAGACCUGCACUUUUGGAGCGGCCGGUGUCUGAUUAGCUAGUUGGUGGGGUAAUGGCCUACCAAAGCUUCGAUCAGUAGCUGGUCUGAGAGGACGGCCAGCCACACUGGGACUGAGACACGGCCCAGACUCCUACGGGAGGCAGCAGUGGGGAAUUUUGGACAAUGGGCGCAAGCCUGAUCCAGCCAUGCCGCGUGAGUGAAGAAGGCCUUCGGGUUGUAAAGCUCUUUCAGCCGGGAAGAAAAGGUCGCGACUAAUAAUCGCAAUCCAUGACGGUACCGAAAGAAGAAGCACCGGCUAACUACGUGCCAGCAGCCGCGGUAAUACGUAGGGUGCGAGCGUUAAUCGGAAUUACUGGGCGUAAAGGGUGCGCAGGCGGUUUUGUAAGUCAGAUGUGAAAUCCCCGGGCUUAACCUGGGAACU
RNAcentral lists this ribosomal RNA (423 nucleotides) under uncultured bacterium. RNAcentral's name for it is "bacterial SSU rRNA". It matches the Rfam family "Bacterial small subunit ribosomal RNA", at positions 207 to 622 of the family's 1533-position model. The record is from RNAcentral.